AUACAUGCAGUAGAACGCUGAAGAGAGGAACUUGCUCUUCUUGGAUGAGUUGCGAACGGGUGAGUAACGCGUAGGUAACCUGCCUUGUAGCGGGGGAUAACUAUUGGAAACGAUAGCUAAUACCGCAUAACAAUGGAUGACACAUGUCAUUUAUUUGAAAGGGGCAAUUGCUCCACUACAAGAUGGACCUGCGUUGUAUUAGCUAGUAGGUGAGGUAAUGGCUCACCUAGGCGACGAUACAUAGCCAACCUGAGAGGGUGAUCGGCCACACUGGGACUGAGACACGGCCCAGACUCCUACGGGAGGCAGCAGUAGGGAAUCUUCGGCAAUGGGGGCAACCCUGACCGAGCAACGCCGCGUGAGUGAAGAAGGUUUUCGGAUCGUAAAGCUCUGUUGUAAGUCAAGAACGGGUGUGAGAGUGGAAAGUUCACACUGUGACGGUAGCUUACCAGAAAGGGACGGCUAACUACGUGCCAGCAGCCGCGGUAAUACGUAGGUCCCGAGCGUUGUCCGGAUUUAUUGGGCGUAAAGCGAGCGCAGGCGGUUUGAUAAGUCUGAAGUUAAAGGGCUGUGGCUCAACCAUAGUUCGCUUUGGAAACUGUCAAACUUGAGUGCAGAAGGGGAGAGUGGAAUUCCAUGUGUAGCGGUGAAAUGCGUAGAUAUAUGGAGGAACACCGGUGGCGAAAGCGGCUCUCUGGUCUGUAACUGACGCUGAGGCUCGAAAGCGUGGGGAGCGAACAGGAUUAGAUACCCUGGUAGUCCACGCCGUAAACGAUGAGUGCUAGGUGUUGGAUCCUUUCCGGGAUUCAGUGCCGCAGCUAACGCAUUAAGCACUCCGCCUGGGGAGUACGACCGCAAGGUUGAAACUCAAAGGAAUUGACGGGGGCCCGCACAAGCGGUGGAGCAUGUGGUUUAAUUCGAAGCAACGCGAAGAACCUUACCAGGUCUUGACAUCCCGAUGCUAUUUCUAGAGAUAGAAAGUUACUUCGGUACAUCGGUGACAGGUGGUGCAUGGUUGUCGUCAGCUCGUGUCGUGAGAUGUUGGGUUAAGUCCCGCAACGAGCGCAACCCCUAUUGUUAGUUGCCAUCAUUCAGUUGGGCACUCUAGCGAGACUGCCGGUAAUAAACCGGAGGAAGGUGGGGAUGACGUCAAAUCAUCAUGCCCCUUAUGACCUGGGCUACACACGUGCUACAAUGGUUGGUACAACGAGUUGCGAGUCGGUGACGGCGAGCUAAUCUCUUAAAGCCAAUCUCAGUUCGGAUUGUAGGCUGCAACUCGCCUACAUGAAGUCGGAAUCGCUAGUAAUCGCGGAUCAGCACGCCGCGGUGAAUACGUUCCCGGGCCUUGUACACACCGCCCGUCACACCACGAGAGUUUGUAACACCCGAAGUCGUUGAGG
This 1400-nucleotide ribosomal RNA is filed under the name Streptococcus thermophilus. RNAcentral's name for it is "bacterial SSU rRNA". It matches the Rfam family "Bacterial small subunit ribosomal RNA". The record is from RNAcentral. Lineage: Bacteria; Bacillati; Bacillota; Bacilli; Lactobacillales; Streptococcaceae.